This 438-nucleotide ribosomal RNA is filed under the name uncultured bacterium. Its description in RNAcentral is "bacterial SSU rRNA". It matches the Rfam family "Bacterial small subunit ribosomal RNA", at positions 958 to 1397 of the family's 1533-position model. The record is from RNAcentral.
AACGCGAAGAACCUUACCAAGGUUUGACAUGGACGGAAAUCCAUCGGAGACGGUGGGUCCUUCGGGGCCGUUCACAGGUGGUGCAUGGCUGUCGUCAGCUCGUGUCGUGAGAUGUUGGGUUAAGUCCCGCAACGAGCGCAACCCUUGUCCCAUGUUGCCAGCGGGUUAUGCCGGGGACUCAUGGGAGACUGCCGGGGUCAACUCGGAGGAAGGUGGGGAUGACGUCAAGUCAUCAUGCCCCUUAUGUCUUGGGCUGCAAACAUGCUACAAUGGCCGGUACAGAGGGCUGCGAGCCUGUGAGGGUGAGCGAAUCCCGGAAAGCCGGUCUCAGUUCGGAUCGGGGUCUGCAACUCGACCCCGUGAAGUCGGAGUCGCUAGUAAUCGCGGAUCAGCAACGCCGCGGUGAAUACGUUCCCGGGCCUUGUACACACCGAUAGC